RNAcentral lists this ribosomal RNA (486 nucleotides) under uncultured bacterium. Its description in RNAcentral is "partial 16S ribosomal RNA". It matches the Rfam family "Bacterial small subunit ribosomal RNA", at positions 28 to 507 of the family's 1533-position model. The record is from RNAcentral.
GAUGAACGCUGGCGGCGUGCCUAAUACAUGCAAGUCGAACGCUGGAAAUCUAGCUUGCUAGAUUGAAGGAGUGGCGAACGGGUGAGUAAUACAUAAGCAACCUACCCACGAAGACUGGGAUAAUCUCUGGAAACGGGGACUAAUACCGGAUAGGUAAUCGGAAGGCAUCUUCUGAUUAUUAAAGGUUAAAAACACUGGUGGAUGGGCUUAUGGCGCAUUAGUUAGUUGGUGAGGUAACGGCCCACCAAGACGAUGAUGCGUAGCCGGCCUGAGAGGGUGAACGGCCACAUUGGGACUGAGACACGGCCCAGACUCCUACGGGAGGCAGCAGUAGGGAAUUUGCGGCAAUGGGGGAAACCCUGACCGAGCAACGCCGCGUGAGUGAGGACGGCCUUCGGGUUGUAAAGCUCUGUUGUAAGGGAAGAACGGUAGAUAGAGAAUAUCUAAAUGACGGUACCUUACCAGAAAGCCACGGCUAACUACGUG